AUGGCGUCGAUAGUGGACUGGUGCCGGAUGAAGCUCGGAUUAAAACCAGAUCCUACAUAUAUGAAACAAUUGGACCUUUCAAAAGAUGCAUCACAAUAUCUCGAUGAAAAUCAAAAGUUUUUUGUGAAGAAAAUCGGGAAAGCAAAUAAAUUGCGAUCGGUUCAGACGCAAACAACAAAGAAACGAGGCAGAUAUAUUGGAGUGCUUCUGAUUCUUGUGGCAUUUGGGUUAUAUGGAGGAACAAUCCGCAGUAUCAAACAAGAAAAGUUCUUGGAUGAAUUUGAUGACAUGCAUAAAUCCUAGUGUUGCAUUAGUUUGUGUGAAAUAUCUUUGCUUCCUGUUGUUACAUCUGUGAAAUUGUUUGUGAAAGAUGAAAAGAAGUGUGAAUGAAAUAUUCUAGUUAAUUAUAGAAGAAAUUAGAAUCUAAUGAACUGUAUAGUAUAAAAUCAUGUGAGCUGUGAAGAAAUGAAGCAGACCAGGUAAAUCACAAACAGGUGUCUUUGCAGUGACAGGAAGAUGCUGGUUCUCGGAGAUUUGAAAACAUGCUUGAAGAUUGAUUGACUUGUGUUGUGUUUUUAUGAAAGGAUCAGUCUUAUUGAACUACUUUAUCUUCAGGAGCUGCAGUUCCUACAUAGUAUAAAAAGACGAUAUCUGAUGAUUGUUAACUAAAUGCUUACUAAAUGUUUAAACUUAUAUAAAGUAGAAACAGUCAGAUUAUUGAUGAUUGAUUUACAGUAUAAAGUACCUUCAAAUUUAUUGUAAACACCAUGCAAUAAGACUGUAACGUUAAAACAAUCUUAGAUCAGAUUUUGUGAUAGGUUUUGUGGUACAUCUUGCAGUAUUUUUGUAUCACAUUUACAGGUAUUUGUUUUCAAAAGUAACAAUGUAAUGAAGAGUGAAAUGAUGUUAGAGUAAUAAAUAUACAUGUAUAUAUUGUUUCAUCUGACAUUAAAAUAUUUCAAUUAAAGA
Molecule: long non-coding RNA, 969 nt
Organism: Ylistrum balloti
Lineage: Eukaryota; Metazoa; Mollusca; Bivalvia; Pectinida; Pectinidae
Exons: 2
Source: RefSeq, a predicted model, not a curated record